UACGGGGGGGGUAAGCGUUGUUCGGAAUUACUGGGCGUAAAGGGCUCGUAGGCGGCCAACUAAGUCAUACGUGAAAUCCCUCAGCUUAACUGGGGAACUGCGUGUGAUACUGGAUGGCUUGGAUUUGGGAGAGGGAUGCGGAAUUCCAGGUGUAGCGGUGAAAUGCGUAGAUAUCAAGAGGAACACCAAUUGCGAAGGCAGCUCGCUGGGACGUUACUGACGCUGAGACGCGAAAGCGUGGGGAGCAAACAGG
Molecule: ribosomal RNA, 253 nt
Filed under: uncultured bacterium
Lineage: Bacteria
Description: partial 16S ribosomal RNA
Rfam family: Bacterial small subunit ribosomal RNA
Source: RNAcentral